GCCAGGGUAACAUAGUGGAUUGAAUGUUGGACUAUAACUCUGGAGACUCGGGUUCAAUUCCCAGCUUGGCCA
This 72-nucleotide transfer RNA is filed under the name Phrynosoma platyrhinos (Desert horned lizard). RNAcentral describes it as "tRNA-OTHER". Lineage: Eukaryota; Metazoa; Chordata; Lepidosauria; Squamata; Phrynosomatidae. The record is from RNAcentral.